This 639-nucleotide ribosomal RNA is filed under the name Triticum aestivum (bread wheat). RNAcentral's name for it is "partial small subunit ribosomal RNA". Lineage: Eukaryota; Viridiplantae; Streptophyta; Magnoliopsida; Poales; Poaceae. The record is from RNAcentral.
AUGGCAAUAGCAUGGAUGACCACCAUCAUCUCCUCUACCAUAAUCAUCAUGCUCUUUUCCUCAGCCACCACUGCUCAGACCAACAACGACAAUGGUGGCAAACCCAAGAGGACCCAUUUCAUUGUUGAAGCAUGCAAAAAUGCUUCAAUCAACUCCUCUGAAUAUCGUCACGUCACAAAAGAAUUCUGCGUCUCGGCCCUCCAGCAGGACAAGCGGAGUGAUGAGGCAAAGGACCUUCAUGACCUGGCCCUCGUUGGUGUAGACAUUCUAAAGGGACAUAUCAUUGCCGCAAGUGGCAAGGUCAAAGAAAUGAUGCACAGUGCCAAGAAUGGCACAUCAACAGCACAACGCCUCAGAUUGUGUGAGAUGGACUAUGAUGCCGCGGUGACCAUCCUCAAAGUCUGCAACCCCAUGCUCAAGGACUACCGCGGUCCCAAAGGUGGUGAAAAAGUUGGACCACCUUCCUUUUAUUUACCCGACUGUGUGGAUAAGGCAUCCGGCUUUGUCAGCUACUGUGAGCAUGAGCUUGUUGAUAUGCCUGGGCAGGAAGCAUUGUACAAAGAAAGUAUUGAGCUCGGCAAGCUGGGCGACCUCAAUGUUGCCUUGAUGCAACCAUAUUGGGAUUUUACCCAAAAUUAG